Long non-coding RNA from Polypterus senegalus (gray bichir), 689 nucleotides. RefSeq lists it as uncharacterized. NCBI's taxonomy places the organism in Eukaryota, Metazoa, Chordata, Cladistia, Polypteriformes, Polypteridae. The transcript has 3 exons. The record is from RefSeq and is a predicted model, not a curated record.
UUUCCUGAAGAGACGUAAGGAUUGGGGGCUGCCGAAAACCAGGCCUGAGGCAUAUAAGAUGAGUUUGGGCAAUAUAACAAAUAAUCUGUUGCUGUUGUGUGUCUUUAGGGGAUGUCUUGCCAUCAGUAGACUGGGAACAUGGGAUGCUUAUUCAUCUUAGGAGCAACAACUGAAAAGUAUUGUCCAGUUAUAGCAUGUCUGGCAAUAGGAGGGAUAGCCAGCAGACAAGCCAAAGCAGAAUGGAGGCUUCUAGUAGGGAUGUUUGGAAAGACACAAAACUGGAGUUACUGAGCAGCACAACCAUAAAGAAACCAGUGGAUCAGGACAAGAGGUUUGAACUGGAUCAUUGCAGUUCCUGUAAGUCAUUGCUGAGAGAGAGAGAGAGAGAGAGAGAGAGAGAGAGACAAAGAAACAAUGUGGACAAAUCAAAACACCAGUCGGGUACCAGCUUUCUGGAUUAGCAGGACAGGCUGAGUGGCAGUUGCUGAGUUUCCAGCUAGGAAUGCCUUGUUGUCGACCAGCCAUGAAAAAAAAGGUCCUCGACAGCCUCCAGAUACUGCUGCCCUUGAGGUCUGAAGCAGAGUGGCCCAGAGCUUGCUGGGUAACCAGCCUGAAAGUGGUGCUAUUAAAAAUGUAUCAAGAGCUGGAUUUGAGUUACACUCCUUCAGCUAAAUCAAACUCACGACGCA